Molecule: ribosomal RNA, 468 nt
Filed under: uncultured bacterium
Lineage: Bacteria
Description: partial 16S ribosomal RNA
Rfam family: Bacterial small subunit ribosomal RNA
Source: RNAcentral
GACGAACGCUGGCGGCGUGCUUAACACAUGCAAGUCGAACGGAAAGGCCCUGCUUUUGUGGGGUGCUCGAGUGGCGAACGGGUGAGUAACACGUGAGUAACCUGCCCUUGACUUUGGGAUAACUUCAGGAAACUGGAGCUAAUACCGGAUAGGAGCUCCUGCUGCAGGGUGGGGGUUGGAAAGUUUCGGCGGUUGGGGAUGGACUCGCGGCUUAUCAGCUUGUUGGUGGGGUAGUGGCUUACCAAGGCUUUGACGGGUAGCCGGCCUGAGAGGGUGACCGGCCACAUUGGGCCUGAGAUACGGCCCAGACUCCUACGGGAGGCAGCAGUGGGGAAUAUUGCACAAUGGGCGGAAGCCUGAUGCAGCAACGCCGCGUGCGGGAUGACGGCCUUCGGGUUGUAAACCGCUUUCGCCUGUGACGAAGCGUGAGUGACGGUAAUGGGUAAAGAAGCACCGGCUAACUACGUG